UGGCCCAUAGUAAGCAUAUAAUACAUGUUAUUAGUGUGAUUUCAGGGUGGACCUAUUUAGAGAACAUGUCAGAGGAAAAUACUUCAAGGCUGCUGGAACAUUGAGGUUGCUUCAACACCAUGUCAUGGAAGAGGCUGGCCACUUCAGCCAUACAAGGGCCAACCCUGACGCUAGAAAUGUUCAACUGUAAAUGACCUGAUUUGAUGAUGAAACCUACUUAAAUGCAAAACAAGAUUCUACUUAGAAGCCAAGGUCAGAUGUUAUGUAUUGGGAAACAGAAGCAAGAGUUUGAAGAAAACCCUUAAGCCACAGCCAGCAUCACCCCUGACUGCAAGGUCUGCCUGGACAAUCAAGUCAAGAUCCUUGACUUAAUCACAUCUGCAAACACCCU
Non-coding RNA from Microcebus murinus (gray mouse lemur), 391 nucleotides. NCBI's taxonomy places the organism in Eukaryota, Metazoa, Chordata, Mammalia, Primates, Cheirogaleidae. The record is from RefSeq and is a predicted model, not a curated record.